RNAcentral lists this ribosomal RNA (468 nucleotides) under uncultured bacterium. Its description in RNAcentral is "partial 16S ribosomal RNA". It matches the Rfam family "Bacterial small subunit ribosomal RNA", at positions 28 to 507 of the family's 1533-position model. The record is from RNAcentral.
GACGAACGCUGGCGGCGUGCUUAACACAUGCAAGUUGAACGGAAAGGCCCUGCUUUGGUGGGGUGCUCGAGUGGCGAACGGGUGAGGAACACGUGAGUAACCUGCCCUUGACUUUGGGAUAACUUCAGGAAACUGGGGCUAAUACCGGAUAGGAGCUCCUGCUGCAUGGUGGGGGUUGGAAAGUUUCGGCGGUUGGUGAUGGACUCGCGGCUUAGCAGCUUGUUGGUGGGGUAGUGGCUUACCAAGGCUUUGACGGGUAGCCGGCCUGAGAGGGUGACCGGCCACAUUGGGACUGAGAUACGGACCAGACUCCUACGGGAGGCAGCAGUGGGGAAUAUUGCACAAUGGGCGGAAGCGUGAUGCAGAAACGCCGCGUGCGUGAUGCCGGCCUUCGGGUUGUAAACCGCUUUCGCCUGUGACGAAGCGUGAGUGACGGUAAUGGGUAAAGAAGCACCGGCUAACUACGUG